This 254-nucleotide unclassified non-coding RNA is filed under the name fungal sp. RNAcentral's name for it is "partial internal transcribed spacer region". The stretch from base 1 to 46 matches the Rfam family "Eukaryotic small subunit ribosomal RNA", at positions 1786 to 1831 of the family's 1831-position model. Lineage: Eukaryota; Fungi. The record is from RNAcentral.
AAGUCGUAACAAGGUAACCGUAGGUGAACCUGCGGUUGGAUCAUUAAAAAACUUCGGCAAGAACGUGGAGCUUGUGUGUGAGACUUGUGUGCUAACUUAGACCACAAGCCCCCUCACGAGCCCUGUUUUUACGAACCCUGUGUGAACCGUAAUAUUUAUUCCAUCCACGUAAUACGAAAUUUCUAGUCUAAAGUCUUCUUCAUAUCACGAGAAUAUGAUAAAAACAACUUUUGGCAACGGAUCUCUUGGCUCUC